RNAcentral lists this long non-coding RNA (6863 nucleotides) under Homo sapiens (human). RNAcentral's name for it is "HSALNT0017588". The record is from RNAcentral. Lineage: Eukaryota; Metazoa; Chordata; Mammalia; Primates; Hominidae.
UUCUUCAUGAUUGAAUUUUAGUAGGUUAUAUGUGUAUAGGAGUUUAACCAUUUCUUCUAGAUUUUCCAAAUUUGCUUAUAGUAGCCACUAAUGAUCCUUUGAAUUUCUGUGUUUACAGUUGUUAUGUCUCCUUUUACGUCUCUGAUUUCAUUUAUUUGUGUCUUCUCUUUUUCUGAGUCUGACUAAAGAUUUGCAAAUUUUGUUUAUCUUUUCAAGAAAACAACUUUUUGUUUUAUUAAUCUUUUGCAUUGUUUUCUUCAAUUAAAUUCAUUUAUUUCUGCUCUGAUUUUUAUCAUUUCUUUUCUUCUAGUAAUAUUUGGUUUGAUUUGCUCUUGCUUUUCUAGUUCUUUAAGAUACAUUAUUUGGUUGAAGAUGUUCUUUUUUGAUGCAGGCACUUAUAGCUAUGAACUUCCCUCUUAGUACUGCUUUAGCUGUAUCCCAUAGCUUUUGGUAUGUUGUAUUUCCAUUAUCAUUUGCUUCAAGAAAUCUAUUAGGUCCAUUUGUUCUAUAGUGCAGAUUGAAUACAAUUUUUGUUGUUAUUGAUUUUCUGUCUGGGAGAUCUGUCCGAUGCUGAAAGUAGAGUGUUGAAGUCUCCUGCUAUUAUUGUACUGGGGCCUAUCUCUUUAGCUCUAAUUUGAUUUGGUUUUUAUAUCUGGAUGCUCAAGUGUUGGGUUCAAAUACAUUUACAUUCAUUAUAUCCUCUUACUGAAUUGACCCCUUUUUCAUCAUAUAAUGACCAUCUCUGUCUCUUCUUAUAGUUUUUUCUUUAAAUCUAUUUUGUCUAAUAUACACAUGGCUACUCCUGCUAUUCUUUGGUUUCCAUUGGCAUGGAAUAUAUUUUUCUAUCCCUUUACUUUCAGUCUAUUUGUAUCUUUAUAACUGAAGUGUGUUUCUUAUAGACAACAGAUCAUUGGGUCAUUUUUAAAAUUAAUUCAGCCACUCUGUCUUUUGAUUAGAGACUUAAAUCCACUUAAAUUUAAUGUUAUUAUUGAGAAUUAAGAACUUACUCCUGCCAUUGUGCUAUUUGUUUUUUCAUUGUUUUGCAGUCUUCUCUUCCUUGUUUUAUUCCUUCUUAUCUGCUUUUUGGUGAAAGUGAUUUUCUUUGGUGGUCUGCUUUAAUUUCAUGCUCUUUGUUUUUUGUGUAGCUGUUGUAGAUUUUUUGAUUUGAGGUUACCAUGGGGCUUUCAAAUAAUAUUUUAUAGCUGAUUAUUUUAAACUGAUGAAAACUUGACACUGAUUGCAUAAAAAACACACAAAAUAACUCUUUAAAAACUGUAUGCUUUUCUUUUUUUUUUUUUUUUUUUGAGAUAGAGUCUUGCUCUGUCACCCAGGCUGGAGUCCAGCAAUGCCAUCUCGGCUCACUGCAGCCUCCAUGAUUCUCCUACCUUAGCCUCUCAAGUAGCUGGGAUUACAGGCCUGGGCCACCAUGUCCAACUAAUUUUUGUAUUUUCAGUAGAGACAGGGUUUCGCCAUGUUGGCCAGGCUGGUCUCAAACUCCUGACCUCAAGUGAUGCACCUGCCUUGGCCUCCCAAAGUGUUGAGAUUACAGGUAUGAGCCACUGCACUUGGUCCACAACUGUAUACUUUGACUUUAUUCCCUUGCUAUUUAACUUUUAGUUCUCUUUAUGUCUUAUUGUACUGUCUAUGUUUUGAAAAGUUGUCGUAGUUGUUAUUUUUUAUUGAGUCAUCAUUUAGUCUUUCUACUUAAGAGAAGUUUACACACCGUGAGUACUGUGUUAUACUGUUCUGUAUUUUUCUAUGUGUUUACUAUUAUCAGCAAGUUGUAUACCUUCAGAUGAUUUCUUCUUGCUCAUUAAAGUCCUUUUCUUGGGCUGGGUGCAGUGGCUCACACCUAAAAUCCCAGUACUUUGGGAGGCCAAGGCAGGCAUAUUGCCUGAGCUCAGGAGUUUUUGAUCAGCCUGGGCAACAUGAUGAAAUCCCAUCUGUACUUGAGCCUGGGAGGUUGAGGCUGCUGUGAGUCAUGAUGGUGCCAUUGCACUCCCCAGCCUGGUAACAGAGCAAGACGUCAUCUGAAAAAAAAAAAAAAAAAAAAAAAAAAGGUCCUUUUAUUUCAGAAGGAAGAUCUCCCUUUAGCAUUUCUUAUAAGACAGAGUUGAUGAAAUCCCUCAGCUUUUGUUUGGCAAGGGUUUUAUUUCUUCAUGCUUAAAGGAUAUUUUCACCAGAUAUACUAUUCUAGGGUAAAAGUUUUCUUUUUUUCCUUCAGCACUUCGUGCCACUCCCUCCUGGCCUUCUUUCCACUGAAAAGACUGCUGCCAGACAUAUUGGAGCGCCGUUCUAUGUUGUUUCUUUUCUCUUGCUACUUUUAGUAUCCUUUCUUUAUCCUUGACCUUUCAGAGUUUGAUUAUUAAAUGUCUUAAGGUAGUCUUCCUUGGGUUAAAUCAGCUUGGUGUUCUACAACCUUCUUCUACUUGGAUAUUAAUAUACUUCUCUAGGUUUGAGAAGUUCUCUGAUAUUAUCCCUUUAAAUAAAUUUUCUUACCCCUAUGUGUUUCUCUAACUCUUCUUUAAGGCCAAUAACUCUUUGAUUUGCCAUUUUUAAGCUAUUUUCAAGAUCUUGUAGGCAGGCUUCAUCACUUUUUAUUAUUUUUUUCUUUUGUCCGUGACUAUGUAUUUUGAAAUAGCCUAUCUUCAAGCUCACUAAUUCCUUCUUCUGCUUAAUUUAAUUCAUUUGGUGAGGUCAUGUUUUCCUAGUUGGUGUUAAUGCUUGCAGAUGUUCUUCAGUGUCUGGGCAUUGAGGAGUUAGGUAUUUAUUAUAGUCUUCACAGUCUGGGCUUAUUUGUACCUAUCGUUCUUGGGAAGGCUUUCUAGGUAUUUGAAGGGACUUGAACCCCAAACUCAAUAAUGCUGUGCUUUUUCCAGACUCGUAGAGGUACCACCUUGGUUGUCUUGGAUAAAAUCUGGAAUAAUUAUCUGGGUUACCAGGAGAGACCCUUGUUCUUUUCGCUUACUUUCUCCAAAACAUAUGAAGCCUCUCUCUCUGUGCUGAACCACCUGGAACUGGAGGUGUGAUGAGGACUUUAUGGAUGGCAGAACUUUAGAGCAAUGAAUACAUGGCUAUGUUCAUCAAAGCCAUGAAGACACAGUGGCCUGAAAUCUUGGGGACCCAAUUCCCACACCAGUGUGUCCAAGAGUUAUAGAGAUGAAAAUGCAUAUGGAAUUAUCAUGCAAAUUACCAAUAAAGAGAAUCACUGGUCAGAAUCCCUAUAUUUUGGAGAAGAAAAAUUUUGAAAACCAGUCAGAAUUCAAUCAACUGCAGUUGGGAGAAAGACAGCGAGUAGCUUGAGAGAGAUGAGAAACUAUCAAAAAGAAGUUCCUGACAUGGCAACAGUGUAUCAUCCAAUGAAUCAAUCGCCUCACCCAACACUGUAACACUUCCUGGCCUAUUGACUCAGAGCAUGAGGAAACCAAAGUGACCAGGGGAAGGCCUCAGGAAACUUACAAUCAUGGUGAAGGAGAAGCAGGCACAUCACAUGGCUGGAGCAACAAGCAAGAAGCAGGGGAAGUGCCGCACACUGUUAAACAAGCAGACCUCUCAAGAACUCAUUCACUAUCACAAAAACAGCACCAAGAGGAUGGUGCUAAAUGAUUCAUGAGAAAUCCCCCUCCGUGAUCCAGUCACCUCCCACCAGGCCUCACCUCCAUGAGAUUUGGUGCAAACACAGAUCGAAACCAUAUCAACAACUUUUAAUUUAGGUUCAUGGAGUACAUGUGUAGGUUUGUUACAUGGGUAAAUUGCCUGUCACAGGGGUUUGGUGUACAGAUAAUUUUGUCAUCCAGGCAGUCAACAUAAUACCCAGUAGAUAGUUUUUCAAUCCUCACCUUCCUCUUGCCCUACACCCUCAAGUAGGCCCCAGUGUGUAUUAUUCCCUUCUUUGUGUCUGUUGUACUCAAUGUUUAAUUUCACUUGUAAGUGAGAGCAUGUAGUGCUUGAUUUUCUGUUCCUGUAUUAGUUAGCUAAGGAUAAUGUCCUCCAGCUGCAUCCAUGUUGCUGCAAAGAAUAUGAUCUUGUUCUUUUUUAUGGUUGUAUAGUAGUCUAUGGACGUGUGGCUGAACUAAUUUAUCUUUUCACCAACAGUGUAUAAGUGUUCCGUUUUCUCCACAACCUUGCCACCACCUUUUCUUUUUUUUUUUUUUUUUUUUGACUUUUUAAUAGUACCCAUUCUGACUAGAGUGAGAUGAUAUCUCAUUGUGGUUUUGACUUGCAUUUCCCUAAUGAUUAGUGAUAUUGAGCAAUUUUUCAUAUACUUGUUGGCUGUGUGUAUGUAUUCUUUUGAGAAGUGUCUGUUUAUAUCCUUUGCCCAUUUUUAAAUGGGGUUGUUUGAUUUGUUUAAGUUCCUCAUAGAUUCUGGAUAUUAGGCCUUUGUUAGAUGCGUCGUUUGCAAAUAUUUUCUCCUAUUCUGUAGAUUAUCUGGUUACACCGUUGAUUAUUUCUUUCCCUAUGCAGAAACUCUUUCAAUUAGGUCCAAAUUGUCAAAUUUGUUUUUUUGCAAUUGCUUUUGGAGUCUUCCUCAGGAAGUCUUUGCCAGGGCCAAUGUCCAGAAUGGUGUAUCCUAGGUUUUCUUCUAGAAUUUUUUUAGUUUUAGGUUGUACAUUUAAGUCUUCAAUUCAUUUUUAGUUGAUUUUUGUAUAUGGUGAAAGGUACAGAUCCAGUUCUAUUCUUCUGCAUAUGGCUGGCCAGUUAGCCUAGCACCAUUUAUUGAAUAGGGAGUCACUUCCGCAUUGCUUUUCUUUGUUGGUUUUGUCAAAAAUCAGAUGGUUGUGGGGGUACAACUUUAUUUCUGGGUUAACUAAUGCAUUCCAUUGGUCUAUAUCUCUGUUUUUGUAUCAAUAUCAUGUUGUUUUAGUUACUGUAGCCAUGUAGCAUAGUUUGAAGUUGAGUAAUGUGAUAUCUCCAGCUUUGUUCUUUUGGCAUAGGGUUGUCUUGGCUAUUUGAGCUCUUUUUUUGGUUUUAAAUAAAUGUUAGAAUAAUUUUUUCCUAAUUCUAUGAAAAAUGUCAUUGGUAAUUUGAUAGGAAUAGCAUUCAAUCUAUGACAUGCUUUGGAAGUAUGGCCAUUUUAACAAUAUUGAUUCUUCCUAUCCGUGAUCAUGGAAUGUGUUUCCAUUUGUUUGUGUUUUUCCAAUUUCUUUCAGCAGUAUUUUGUAAUUCUCAUUACAGAGAUCUUUCACCUCCCUGGUUAGUUUUAUUCCUAGGUAUUUUAUUCUUUUUGUGGCUAUUAUGAAUGAGAUUGCAUUCUUGAUUUGGCUCUCAGCUUGAACAUUGUUGAUGUUUAGAAAUGCUACUGAUUUUUAUACAUUGAUUUUGUAUCCUGAAACUUUGCUGAAGUCGUUUAUCAGAUCUAGAAGUUUUUAGGCAGAGACUAUGGGGCUUUUUAGAUAUGGAAUCAUGUUAUAUGUAAACAGAGAUAGUUUGAUUUAUUUCUUCCAAUUUGGAUACAUUUUAUGUCUUUCUCUUGCCCAAUUACUCGGGCUAGGAUUUCCAGUACUAAGUUGAAUAGGAGUGGUGAGAGUGAGCCUCCUUGUCUUGUUCCGUUUCCCAAGGGGAAUUGAUAUGGUUUGGCUCUGUGUUCUCACCUAAGUCCCAUCAUGAAUUGUAAUCCCCAUAAUCUCUAUGUGUCAAGGGCAGGACCAGGUGGAGGUAAUUGGAUCAUGGGGGCAGUUUCCCCCAUGCUGUUCUCAUGAUAGUGAAUGAGUUCUCAUAAGGUCUGAUGGUUUUAUAAGCAUCUGGCAUUUCCCCUGCUUGCCCUCACUCCAUCCUGCUGCCCUAUAAAGAAAGUGCCUGCUUCUCCUUUGUCUUCUGCUAUGAUUGUAAGUUCCCUGAGGCCUCCCAAGCCAUGUAGAAUUGUGAGUCAAUUAAACCUCUUUCCUUUAUAAAUUACCCAGUCUUGGAUAUUUCUUCAUAGCAGUGUGAGAAAGGACUAACACAGGAAUGCUUUCAGCUUUUGCCAAUUCAGUAUGAUGUUGGCUGUGGGUUUAUCAUAGAUGGCUCUUAUUAUUUUGAGGUAUGAACUUUUGAUGCCUAGUUUGUUGAGUAUUUUAAACAUGGGAUAUUGAAUUUUGUUGAAAGUCUUUCCUGUUUCUAUUGAGAUGAUCAUGUGGUUUUUGUUUUUAAUUCUGUUUAUAAGGUAAAUCACAUUUGUUGAUUUGCAUAUGUUGAACCAAUCUUGCAUCCCAGGAAUAAAGCCUGCUUGAUCAUGAUGCAUGAGCUUUUUGAUGUGCUGCAGGAUUCAGUUUGCUAGUCAAGAAUUUUUGCAUCUGUGUUUUUCAGGGAUAUUGGCCUGAAAUUAUGUUGUUGUUGUUGUGCUCUGCCAGGUUUUGAUAUUAGAAUGAUGCCAGCUUCAUAGAAUGUGUUAGGAAAAAGUCCCUCCUCAAUUUUUUAGAAUAAUUUUAGUAGGAUUGGUACCACCUCUUCUUUAUAUGUCUGGUAGAAUUUGUCUAUUUGUCUGUGAAUCUGUCUGGUCCAGGGCUUUUUCUAUUUGGUAGGUUUUUUGUUUGUUUGUUUGUUCCUAAUUCCAUUUUGGAGCUCAUUAUUUGUCUGUUCAGGGUCUCAAUUUCUUCCUGGUUGAAUCUUGAGAGGUUAUGUGUUUCCAAGAAUUUAUCCAUUUCUUCUAGGUUUUCCAGUUUGUAUGCUUAGACAUGUUCAUAAUGGUCUCUGAGGUUUUGGUGUCUCUGUGGGGUCAGUGGUAAUGUUACCUUUGUAAUUUCCUAUUGUGUUUAUUUUUAUCUUUUCUCUUUUUUCCUUUAUUCAUUUAGCUAGUGGUCUAUCAAUCUGAUUUAUCUUUUCGAAUAAGCAACUUUUGGUUUUGUUGAUCUUUUGUAUGGUUUUGUUUAUCUUUUGUAUGGUUU